GGUGUUGUGUUCUCAAUUAUUGAGGUCCUUUUCAUUGUUUAGAAGUGUUGUUUCAAUGGAUGAGCUAAAAGAUUUUCCUUAUACUUCAAUUAAUCUUUUACCCAUUUUUAUGGAAGCCUUAUUCUCUUCUACCAAGUGGCGGAUGCUUUUCUCCAACCUCUGGCAUGUCGAAACUUCAGUGGUUUACGGGACUUUGGCCUAGUGUGAGAUAGGCUAAUUUGUUGGGCUUUUU
RNAcentral lists this unclassified non-coding RNA (232 nucleotides) under Hevea brasiliensis (rubber tree). The record is from RNAcentral. Lineage: Eukaryota; Viridiplantae; Streptophyta; Magnoliopsida; Malpighiales; Euphorbiaceae.